This is a long non-coding RNA of Oreochromis niloticus (Nile tilapia), 1857 nucleotides long. RefSeq lists it as uncharacterized. The transcript has 4 exons. NCBI's taxonomy places the organism in Eukaryota, Metazoa, Chordata, Actinopteri, Cichliformes, Cichlidae. The record is from RefSeq and is a predicted model, not a curated record.
ACAGAUAUAACAGCUUUGAGAUGCAUUUGUAGAUAUUAUUACAUGUUUGACCGUCUUUAUGGUGCUAGCUUAAAGUUACGGUGUAAAGGUUAGCUUAUAGUGUAAUAAAGCGGUUACUGUUUAAACAAUGAUAGGACAGAAAUAUUAGCUUCUGUCAUGAGUAAUUAAGUUACUAGUUAAUAAAGUUACCAGUAAACAGAUUCCCAAUUAGCUUCAAUGCAUCUGUAAUAAAUAUGUGCAACUUUCAGUGCUUCGUUUAAACUGUAUGAUACUUAUACUGACCCAGGGUCAGUGUAAAACACAAUCCUAGCUGUCUGAACAAAGUCUGGCUCCUUUAAUCCUGCACGACAAACCUCAGGAUGCAGGUUCAUUGAGCCGCUUUCCUGCUGCCACACCUGAGAGGCAGCUGGAAACUUACAGUAACGUUUACAUCAUGCAAAGACUGCCAGACUCUGUAAUACUGUAGACGAUCAGGUUACCAAUAAACAUUAAAAGGUACCUCUCUGUCUGUGUGUCUGUGUUGAACCUUUUAUAAUCAAAUUUUAAGUCCGGCUGCAUUACGUUUUGGACUUUUCUCUUUUGAAGACACGUUGAAGAGCUCACAGAGAUUUGAAGUUGCAAAUUUAGGAGCAUAAGGCCCGAUGAUGGUGUGUAAUGCCUGUACUUACCUUCUGCACUGUGUUUUUGUUACUAAUUUAUGUUUGUUAUUGUUUAACACAGAUUUCAGAGGAGCACUUUUAAAGUAUCCUUAAUACUUUAAAGCAGAACUGGAUUGGAAAUCAAAAGCUCCUUAAAAGCUUUUUCUGUUCCCCGACCGUCAAAGCCAAACUUCAGCCAUGAGAGCUGACGGGAUAUGACUUUUUAAAAUCAGAAACAAAGGUACAGUGAAUGAUAUUAACGGCAGGGAAACAACACUGGGGGAAGACAAGAAGAAGUGUUUCCAGGAGGAAGCUGCAGUGAGGACACAGCCGCCUCACACUGAGGAGGCACUGAAAGGUUCCCUAACAGUUCCUGGUGAAUCACAGCAGAACCAUAAAGGUUGCUGGGCUGCAUGAUGGCCUUAGCCCUGAGAAGCCAUCCUGUUACAGGAGGAGCAAUUAGAAGCUGUUUUCAAAGUAGCUGAGCAGAUUUCAUCUCAAAUCAAAGUGAAUCGUGAUGUUUCCGCUUCCAUUUUGAUUCCAAGAAGAAGAAGAAUGCUUCAAAGAAGUGGCGUUCAUGGUCUCAGUCCACAGUGUGACAAUCGUGGUCACACACUGGAUGUGCUUUUUAAAACAACAUGUUUCUUCACUUCAAAAACUUUGACAUGUGUCUUUUUGUUUGGAUAUGUAUAAUAUUAGUGCAUGUUAGGGUUUGUUGCUGAAAAUUGUUCACUUCUGUUUUGUAUUUUCAUGAUCACUUACACCAAAGAUAUUGUUUUAAAAAGUUUUGUUUUCAGAGUCUUUCUUAUAAAAUCCUGAGCCUGUAGUUUUACAUGAAUGUUGCUUUUUCAUUUAUGAUCUUGUAAUGCUUACACUACACUGUGCACAUCUACAUUAGAGACAUCUUAGUUACCUAUUUGUGAGACUGGGCUGCUUGACUAUUAUUUGGAAGUGUAUGUAAAAAGCAUGAUAUCAUUUCUUUUUUAAUAUGAUGGACUGAACUCAGGAGGUAUCUGCUUUUGACCAUGCAAAGAUUGAUCUGAUCCCAUUUAUACCUGUAUCUACUAUUUCAAGAUUUAGCUGAAGUUUGCUCAACUUUAAUUGUCAGGAUACAUGUUUAUUCCAGCUCUCAUAGUGCAAAGCCAUGAGACAGACCUAUUAAACUCAAUGCACAAUGUAAAGUUCAUAAUUCUCUGACAAAUAAAACUGUAAUGGCAAA